Molecule: long non-coding RNA, 2946 nt
Organism: Episyrphus balteatus (marmalade hoverfly)
Lineage: Eukaryota; Metazoa; Arthropoda; Insecta; Diptera; Syrphidae
Exons: 2
Source: RefSeq, a predicted model, not a curated record
CUAAGCCACAUACAGAAACACAUCAACCAUGUUGUUGUGUCUCUCUGUGUACUCUAUGAUAUGGUGAUGGUGAUUCCCGACCAAGACGACAAAACUGUUCAACAGCGACGACAUCCCCCGAAAAAGUUCUACCACUGCUACUGCUUCUGCCACCAAAUGGAACAUCGUCGUCGUCGUAGUCGUCGACGAGACCAAGGCGACCGAUUCAUGUCGAAUUUUGGAGUGGAGCCAGUUGUUUGCGAAUUGUUUGCCAGUGCAGUGUUGUGCCGCUUCUGGCACAGGCAGGCAACGUGCGGUGCCACCAAUCGUGCCUUCGGGCACGAUUGAGACGCAUCCAAGAAAAAUUACGCCCGACCAAAAAAAAAAAUAUACUCAAAAAAAAAAGAACAUCAAAAAUUCUUAAACGGAUCGGGCCAGCCAACAAACCAUCCGACAGAAAUUCUCGGGCAAAUAGUGUCGUCGUUCAAAAAAAAAAAAAAUAAAUAUAUAAAAUAUUUUUUGGACGGUGUCUCGUAACUUGGCCACUGAUUCAGAAACUCAUCAUCAUCACCAUCAGCAGCAGUAGUACCAGCUACCAGCAGAAACGAAACGAUAUAUACUUCUGAUGAUGGCCAAGUCCAAGAAUGUCUCCUUCCAUCACUACUACCACCAGCCAAUACCUUCGGCCAACAAACUGAAGAACAAGAAGGAGGCUUCUUUCGUUGAUGCUCUCAUUGGUCCACCACAUGAUGACAACGAUAAUGAUUCUUCAAGAUGCUGCUGGCCAAAUCCAAGAUGUUGAUGGCCAACAUUUCACCUCAUUCAGAGCCAAUUCAAGUUGUGUGUGUUUUUUUUUUUAAUCUUCACUUCUUGGCUUCAUAGAUCCGCUUCCGGCUAAAACAACAGGUUGAUGGCGAAGGAAUUUGGAAUUUCAAUUGUUUUACUAUUGGCAUUUAAAUACAAAAAAAAAACGUCCGUCUCGAUCAUAAACAAACCUAGCUCUUACCAUCCGCAGCUAAAGUGUCAACGAUAUACCAAAGGGAAUCCCAAAUUCUAUAUCAUCGUCAUCAUCUGUCCACAGUGACACUUUUUAGCAUCGUCAUUGUUAUCCUAUCAAAGAAUAUACCAGAGCGUGGAACGAAAAUACGUUUGUUGCGUUCGUCGUCGUCAAUUGUUGGCCAACUGGCUAAUACCCAAAAAAAAAGAAGACCAUGUCGAAUUAUCAACAAAAAAAAAUCUUGUUUUUUUCCUGGGACGACAAUGUCACCAUCGCAUCACCAAGAAGGAACCCAGGCCAAUUAUUAUUAUUAUUAUUGAAGUGGACGACACGUUUGUCGGUGUAUCCAAGAAAUGCGUCCAUUGUUUCAUCACAGUGGAUGAAGAACAACACUCUCUUAACCGUCAACAUGUGUCCGCAUAUCUUCUUUAUUCAAAAAGAAACGUAGUUCGAAAUCGAAUAGUCCUGUGGGCAAGGACUAAAAACAACAUCAUCAUUCAACAUCUUUGCACCUUGCCUUCAUUAUACAAAUGGGUUUAGUGUAUUUUAUUAUUUGGUUUCGUGUGUGCGCGAAUAACAACACUCUUUGAAUAAAAAUAGAACAAGAAAAAAAAAAACAACAGUAAAUAGUAGUGAAUAAUCGUUAUAUUUAAGGAAUAUUAAAUAAAAUUAUAAAAAUAAAGUUAAUAAUAAUAAUUAAAAAAAAACAAUAAGUUAAGUGUAAAAGUUGCUGCUAGAAUUAAAAACAAAACAUAAAUAUUUUAUUCGUAAAAGGAUUAAAUAAAAAAAAAAAAAAAAAAACAUUUAUAUAAACAAAAAAACUUUGAGUUAUAAUGCUGAUGAAUCGAAGCAAAAGUAGUGGAAAAGUUUUUGAAACUUCAUCGAAUCUGAAAUCUCGUGAAUUAUUGCAUCCGAAUGACUCCAACAAUAAAACAAGGCAUUCAUUUGCCAAUGAAUUUAUCCAAAUCUCCUGCCAACUUCAUUGGCUGUUGUCUGGGCCUGACCAACCCUCCAGCAGCAAACCGAUGCGCACCGAAAUGCAUUUUAACCAUCCCAAAAAUACCACUACCGUGCUGAGGACUCACACGUACUUGUGACGAUGACUCGAAGCGCAAGAGUCCACAUACGCCUGAAUCUUCAGCACACAGUGUUAACAUUGGACAGAGGUGAAUUUUGUGUUGUUGUUGUGUGUCCUCAUUUGGAUUUGGCAGGAUAUUUCGAUAAAAGGAUAGAGCGAGAAACAUAGUGUAUAAGUUUGAAGGAUGAGAGUAAGGAGUUUCUUUUUGGAAUGGAGGGACAUAUAAAAUGCAGUUCACCUAUUGGAUGCAAGGACCAUAUAGGGUUUGUUGUCUAACCGAACCAACCAACCCUUAGCUACUUGAAUUUAAUUAAACAACAAGCAAAUUAUAGUGUCCUUUUAUGUACAAAAAGCAAAAGGAGUCAUUUUAUGUUGCAUACUUUUACGAGAGAAUUUAUACAAUUUUUUUAUUUUAUUAUUUGGCAACAAUAUUUUUAAAGGCUCCAAGGCAAAGAUGAUAGUUUUAGUUUAGCAAACUUAGACAAAAUCAUCCUGCCAAGGAUUCCUUUAGUUUGUUGCAUUUUUAUUAUUUUUAUUUUUUAGUUAAAGUAUUCCUCUUAAUUAUGUAAAUAUUGCAAAUAAAACAACAAUUUAAAACAAAACAAAAAAAAAAAAAUUAUACCAAAUAUAAAUACACAAAUAAAAUCAAGUGUUUUUGGUUCCAAGAAAGUCCACAACAAAAAUGUUAAAUUACAAAACAGAAAAUUAUAUAAAAUAAAAUAAAUUAACAUAAAUUUAUUUAUAAAUAAAUUAAUUUUAAUCUUAAGAUUUAUCAAAUAAAAAAAAAAAAUGAUAAUGUUACAUAAUUAUAUAUAUUAGAAAACAUACAUAAUGAUUAUACAAAAAAUUAAAUAAAAAAUAAAGUUUUUAGCUACCACAGCGGAACAGAAAA